GAAAACGAGAGAAACCACAACACACAAAAUUGCCCAUCCCUAUCACUUCAAAGAUGACCACCUCUGGGGUGAUGAUAUCUGAUGUCAGGGAACUGCCAUCGGAAGGAAGGGAGGUGAAAGGGCUCACACAGGUUGGGAGAGACUCAGCAGCUGAAGAGGGAACCAGUAGGGGGAGAGGAGCUGAGCUGAGGGAAAGUGAGCUGGAGGGAUGGCUCAGAGACACUUCCAGCGAAAACAGUGGGGAGGUUUCAGGACCUCCUGUAGGGACACCCACUCCUCGCCGGAAACUGACACGCAGAGAGUCCAGAAGACGUGUUUCCGUUAAGGAGCUUUUAUGUUGGAAGCGAUUCCGAAAGCAACCACUGUCGGAAUCUGCUAGUGACUAGAGGAGCCAUGUCUGAGGGGCUCCGUCACAGACAGAGGUUUGUGGACUUGAACAAACUCUGAGGGGAUACGAUUUUACGCACAAGCAGCUCAUCAUCCCAUCACAGCAUUCCGACAGUCUUUGAAAGCAGCUUGUGCAGGAGAAGGCAUCAUGAGCAACCCAGCCGGAACCGGAGAAGCAGGAGCUGGAGCGGGUCCAAGCCUGGAAGAAAGGUACCGGGUGUUGGAGGUCCAGCUAGCGCUGCAGACGGCGAGGCUUGAGGAGAGGAGGGCUCAGGAUGCAGACAAAAGGGAAAGCCACCCAGCUCGCCAGAAAGGUACCAGGAUUGGUGCAGAAGUUUGGGGGGGAGCCCAAAGACUAUCAUGGCUUUCGGACAGAGAUGCAAUAUGCCCUCAAUCUGCAGUUUGAUGAAUUCCCUGACGAGGAAUCACGAGUGGCUUUCGUGAUUGAGCAUCUUGAAAAGGGGCGAGAGACUGGGUUAGACCCCUGAUGGCAGCGAAUAGUGACGUCCUAAAGGACACGAUGAAGUUCUUUCGCGCCAUGGAUCUGAUGUUUUCCAGCGAUAUUGAACAGGGAGUGGUGCGCAGACAGUUAAUGGCUUGCAAACAGGGAGCCGAUCUGUCCGUGAGUACUGGACUGAGUUCACCAUGCUGGUUCACAGAUUGGGGUGGGACUUAUCGGCGGAACCCAUUCAAAUGCUCUUUGAAGAAGGGCUUUCUUCGGCUGUGAAAGACGAACUUUCCCGGGCGCCCAGGGCGGAGUCUAUGGACCAGCUGACCAAAUCAGCGCUGACCAUAGGAGCGCGCCAGGAGGCGAGAGCAUUGGAGAGGCGGGAAGGGAAGGGGAACGUUGGAAGGAGUUCCGCAUUCCAGACAUUCCAGAGCCAACUUUCCCGCCGGCAGAGCCGAUGGAAAUCGGAACAGCGCGCGCGCGCAGUUUCAAAGCCCAGUGAGGGGGAAAGAAGGAGGGAAAAGGCGCCCGGAAAUGCUAUCUCUGCCAACAGCCAGGUCACUUUGCCAGAGUCUGCCCCCAGAGGAAGGAAUGGCAAGGGAUGGUAGGAGCUGUGGAGGGAAGAGAGGAAGGAAUACCGGAGCAAGUAAAAGCCAACGCCUGGCUGCCACUGUCGGGGCACAGCAGCCAGGCCAAAGAGCAGUGAGAGUGCCCACGCCAGAACCUCCUAAACCCGCCCUAGUGAUAGAAGUGGCGCUAGAGCUGCCAAACGGACACCCUCUAAAGAUAAAGGCGCUGUUGGACUCAGGCAGCUCCUGCAAUUUCAUGAGCAAAGAGUUUGCAGCUGAACACCAGAUACAGACGAUCCCUUUAAGCAAACCCCUGCAGGUGACCACGAUCGAUGGCAGGGAGCUGUUGGGAGGAGAAGUCAGCUUGCAGACCGUCCCAAUGAUAAUGAAGGUAGCAAGGCACACCGAACUGAUAGCGUUUAAUGUGGCCACCUUGGGAGGAGCUCCCAUUAUAUUGGGGAUGAGCUGGCUAGCGUUACAUGAUCCGCUGGUGGGCUGGCAUCAGAGAGUGGUUUCUUUUGGUUCAGCACAUUGCUUAGAACACUGCAAAGAGGGAAAGGGUUUGGCAGGGGCCCAAGCCACCCUAGCAGGGACUGAAGUAACGGAGAACGUGAAGGUACCACGACAAUAUGCAGAUCUCCGCGACGUCUUCAGCGAAAGGGAAGCUGACCAACUACCCCCGCAUAGACCCUUUGACUGUCAAAUCAAUUUACUCCCUGGGGCACAGCUCCCUGUAGGCAAGCUGUACGCCAUGUCAGACAGAGAGAUGCAGGAGCUAAGAGAGUUCAUUGACAAGAACCUGAAGAGAGGGUUCAUCAGAGAGUCCAGGGCGGUGGGGGGCAGCCCAGUGUUUUUUGUGGAUAAAAAAACACGAACAAGCCGAGGCUGGUGUGUGACUUCAGGGCCUUAAAUGCAGUGUCAGAACCAGUGGCCUUCCCUAUGCCCAGGAUUGACGACAUUUUGACAAGGGUGCGGAAGGGAAAGAUUUUCACAAAGCUGGACCUAAGGGGGGCGUACAACCUGAUACGAAUAAGGAAGGGUGAUGAAUGGAAAACCACCAUGUUCACCCCUUUAGGGGCAUUUGAAUAUUUGGUUAUGCCCUUCGGCCUCCAAGCAGGCUCCGCAUGCUUUCAAUCGUUUAUGAACCACGUCCUGGGGCCUUUGCUUUACAAGAAUUGUGUGGCCUUCUUAGACGACGUGUUGGUGUAUUCUGAGAAUGAGGAGCAGCAUGUGAGAGACGUCAGAGAAGUGUUGAGCAGGCUGCAAGCCAACCAGCUGUGGGUGAAACUGGAGAAGUGUCAGUUUCAUACCAAGGAGGUGGAAUUCCUGGGGUAUCGCCUGUCAGACAAGGGAUUGGCCAUGGAUCCCGGCAAGGUCCAGGCGGUGCUGGAAUGGAAAACACCCAAAACAAGGAAGGAUGUGCAGAGGUUCCUAGGAUUUGGGAACUUCUAUCGUAAGUUCAUCCGAAACUUUGCCCACCUGACGGCGCCCAUUACGGACUGUCUCAGCAGUAAGAAGAAGUUCGUUUGGACUGAGGAGGCGGAGCGAGCAUUUGAGGAACUAAAAGGGCCUUCGCCUCGGAACAACAACUCCUGCAUGUGGAUUUACAAAAACCGAUGAGAGUGGAAACUGACGCAUCAGACAGAGCGAUUGGGGCGGUGCUUCUGCAGCCAGGGAAGGAGGAGUCAGAGUGGAGACCGUGUGCCUUUUUUCGCGAAAGCUGAACAAAUCCGAGAGGAACUACACGGUGUAUGACCGAGAACUACUAGCCAUUCAUGAGGCGUUCCGGAGAUGGAGGCACCUGCUAAUUGGCGCACAACAUAAGGUGCAAGUGUGCACUGACCACAAGAACCUAGAGUAUUGGAGGACGGCACGAGUGCUCAACCAACGGCAAGUGAGAUGGGCCCAGGAGUUCUCCAAAUUUAACUUUGAGAUUUGUUACGUGCCAGGCCCAGAGAACAUUAGGGCGGACGCUCUCUCACGCAAACCUGAAUAUUUGGAGGAGGGAGCACCCGAAGAGAGACAUGUCAUUCCAGAGGACCGCUGGGUGUGUGGGGCGGCAUUGGUGGGACAAAGAGAACUGGUAGAGGAAACAGAGAAUGAUGAAUACGCCCAGAAUAAGCUCAGAGGUCUUAGGGGUGAGGGAGAGGAACCAGGGGUUUCGAGGAAAGAAAUGGAGCUUUGUAUUACAAAGGGGCACUGUAUAUCCCUGAAGGAGACUUAAGGGGAGGGUACUCAAGCAGUUGCACGACAGCCCUACGGCGGGGCAUUUUGGACAACACAAAACCAUGUGGUUGGUCACCAGGGAAUUUUGGUGGCCCAAGGUGAGGGAAGAUGUACGUGAGUAUGUAAGAGGGUGCGAGCAAUGCCAGCGAGCCAAGGGGAAAGGCGGGCGCCGGCGGGGCUAUUAGAACCCUUACCAACCCCAGAACGACCUUGGGAGGCAGUGUCGAUAGAUUUUAUGACUGAUCUGCCGAAGUCCAAAGGGAAAACAGCCAUCAUGGUGGUGGUGGACCUACUAACAAAGAUGUGCCACUUUGUAGCUUGCUCGCAUGCAGUCACGGCGGAAGAGACAGCGAAGUUAUUUGUAGAACACAUUUUUAGGUUGCACGGGGUGCCAUUGAGGGUGGUCUCAGACCGAGGAAAACAAUUUACUUCCAGGUUCUGGAGGAAGCUCAUGAGCUUACUGCAGGUGGAGGUCAAUUUUCGACUGCCCGGCACCCUGAAACCAACGGGCAGGCGGAAAGAGCAAACGGUGUCCUCCAGCAAUACCUGAGGUGUUAUGUCAAUGACAGAGAGAAUGACUGGGUAGAAAAGUUGGCGCUGGCGGAAUUUGCCUACAACAAUGCCGAGAAUGUGUCCACAGGGAUGAGCCCCUUCUUGGCUAAUUAUGGGUGUCAUCCCAGGGCUUUCCCAGGGGAGAUGGGGAGAGAUGGAGCGUCCCGGCAGCCGAGCAUUUUGUAGAAGAAAUGGAAGCAAUCCAUUGUCAGCUCCAACUCAACUUAGAAAGGGCGAAGGAAGAAUACAAGAGGCAAGCAGACAAGAACCGAAGGGAAGGUGAAACCAUAAGGGUGGGAGAUAGGGUGUGGCUGUCAACCCAAGGGUUGCCGUUCAAAGGAGGUUGUAAGAAAUUAAGACCCAGGAGGUUGGGUCCCUUUGAGGUCAUUCAACAGGUCAACCCAGUGGCUUUCAGGCUCCGGUUACCCAACCACAUGAAACUGCACCCAGUAUUUCACAGGUCGUUACUGUCACCGUACGAAGGGGACGAGAAGGGAUGGCCACUCGGGGACCGGUCAUAGAAGAAAGAGAAUGCAGCAGCCAUGUGGCAGAAAUCCUCGACGCCAGGUGGAAGGGGAAUCAGGUGGAGUAUUUGGUAGCGUGGGAAGGAGAACCGGAGUCAGAAAACACUUGGGUAAUGGCCGAAGAUAUCAAUGACGAGGUAUUGAUAGAAACGUUCCAUCAAAGGUUCCCAAGGAAACCUCAGCCUGUGGAGAGGUUCCGGAGGGAAUACUUUGGGACCACUGAUGAGGAGGAGGAGUUGGAAGGCUUCCCGGACUCGGAAGGGGAAGGGAGAUGGACUCUGAGGAGGAGGAGUACUUGAGACCAGGAACCGCAACAGGUGGAGAGAAGUGUUCGAGACAUCGGAAGAUGAAGGAAGUUCAUUCCGGGGUUUUGCCUCCUCACCGCCCGUAGAGGAGGGGGCGAGAGGGGGUGAAGGGGGCCCUGGAGGGGAGGUGGAUGUCAGGGAACUGCCAUCGGAAGGAAGGGAGGUGAAAGGGCUCACACAGGUUGGGAGAGACUCAGCAGCUGAAGAGGGAACCAGUAGGGGAGAGGAGCUGAGCUGAGGGAAAGUGAGCUGGAGGGAUGGCUCAGAGACACUUCCAGCGAAAACAGUGGGGAGGUUUCAGGACCUCCUGUAGGGACACCCACUCCUCGCCGGAAACUGACACGCAGAGAGUCCAGAAGACGUGUUUCCGUUAAGGAGCUUUUAUGUUGGAAGCGAUUCCGAAAGCAACCACUGUCGGAAUCUGCUAGUGACUAGAGGAGCCAUGUCUGAGGGGCUCCGUCACAGACAGAGGUUUGUGGACUUGAACAAACUCUGAGGGGAUACGAUUUUACGCACAAGCAGCUCAUCAUCCCAUCACAUCUGAUAAUGUGAAAUUCCUUGGCCUACGAAGUUGGGUUAUCUUCUGCUCUAUUUGUGUUCUGCCAGGAACUGAAAAGCAUUCCCCUUCAAAGAAGCUUUUGUUUCUGUUGCUGAUUAAUUUAAUUUAUUGAUUGUUUGCUCUUUGCGUUCUUCUUCUUCCUUGAUGCUGC
RNAcentral lists this long non-coding RNA (5721 nucleotides) under Podarcis lilfordi (Lilford's wall lizard). Lineage: Eukaryota; Metazoa; Chordata; Lepidosauria; Squamata; Lacertidae. The record is from RNAcentral.